GAGAGACUUCUUUUGGAAUGGAGGACUCAACUCACCUGGUAAGGGAUGCCUAAUUUCCUGGAAGAGCGUUUGUAGGAGUAAGAAAGAGGGAAGACUCAGCAUCCUCAAUAUAGCCACGAUGAACCGAGAUCUUUUAGUCAAAUGGUAGUGGAAAUUCCAUACUGUGCCUCAGUUGCAAUGGAACAAGAUAAUCCAUGCCUUGUUC
RNAcentral lists this long non-coding RNA (205 nucleotides) under Ananas comosus (pineapple). Its description in RNAcentral is "long non-coding RNA (ACOM_LNC024206)". Lineage: Eukaryota; Viridiplantae; Streptophyta; Magnoliopsida; Poales; Bromeliaceae. The record is from RNAcentral.